This 243-nucleotide long non-coding RNA is filed under the name Spirodela polyrhiza (greater duckweed). RNAcentral describes it as "long non-coding RNA (SPOL_LNC002258)". The record is from RNAcentral. Lineage: Eukaryota; Viridiplantae; Streptophyta; Magnoliopsida; Alismatales; Araceae.
UCAGUGAGUAGCUCAAGAUCUAUAUUGGCCAAAGAUGAAACACUCCAUCAAAUAAUAUGUGGACCAAUGUCACACAUGUCAAGUCAAUAAAAUAUCUCUAUUAUUGUUAGCUAGAUUCCUACAACCCUUACCCAUGUCGGAUAAAAUAUGAGAAGAAAUUUCUCUUGAUUCAUUGAAGGUCUCUCAAUCGCCUAUGGCUUCAACUACUAUUGGUGGUCAUUGAUAAACUAAGUUCGUCCAGCC